AACGAACGCUGGCGGCGUGCUUAACACAUGCAAGUCGAGCGAGAAAGGGAGCUUCGGCACCUGAGUAAAGCGGCGCACGGGUGAGUAACACGUGGGUAACCUGCCUUUCAGUGGGGGAUAACAGCCCGAAAGGGCUGCUAAUACCGCAUUCGUCCACACGGUCACAUGUCUGUGUGGAGAAAGAGGCGCAAGUCUCGCUGGAAGAUGGGCCCGCGGUCCAUUAGCUAGUUGGUGGGGUAAAGGCCUACCAAGGCGACGAUCCGUAGCUGGUCUGAGAGGAUGAUCAGCCACACUGGAACUGAGACACGGUCCAGACUCCUACGGGAGGCAGCAGUGGGGAAUAUUGCGCAAUGGGGGAAACCCUGACGCAGCCAUGCCGCGUGUGUGAAGAAGGCC
This 396-nucleotide ribosomal RNA is filed under the name uncultured bacterium. RNAcentral's name for it is "bacterial SSU rRNA". It matches the Rfam family "Bacterial small subunit ribosomal RNA", at positions 29 to 416 of the family's 1533-position model. The record is from RNAcentral.